Long non-coding RNA from Cyprinus carpio carpio, 1921 nucleotides. The record is from Ensembl. Lineage: Eukaryota; Metazoa; Chordata; Actinopteri; Cypriniformes; Cyprinidae.
AUGAGCCACAGACUGACACGUUUGGUGACACGCGGAAAGAGAGGCAGAAAGGUGCCCAUACUUCUUCUUGAGCGCACAAAAGCUUCGCUUGACUUCCUGGUUGAAAAACGGAGGGAAGUUGGCAUACUUGAGGAGAACCCCUUUCUGUUUGCCAGGCUUAGCACAACAACCAAUCUCCGUGGGUGUGACUGCCUCAGAAGAUAUGCAGAAGAGAGCAAGGCCAAAAACCCAGAACUGCUGAGAUCAACAAGGUUGAGGAAACAUGUUGCUACCUUAUGUCAGCUUCUCGACCUCAGCAAUCAGGAACUUGAGCAAGUUGCUCGUUUUAUGGGACAUGAUAUCCGAGUCCACUGCGAGUAUUAUCGACAGACAGAUAAAACAUUCCAAGUGGCCAAGAUUGGCAAACUUCUGUUUGCGAUGGAGCAUGGAGCAGAGUCACUGAAAGGGAAGAGUCUGCAAACACUGGACUCCGUUAUCAGUGGCAAAAGACACUCAGCCACCCCAACUAAAGAUCUGAAAGGUGUCAAAAAGAGAAGGACGUCAGAUGCAGCAAUUCAACAAGAAGCUCAUGAAGAUGGACUGGUGCACCAGGAGAUAGGUGGAGGACAAAUGGAGAGAACUGCAGAAAAACAUGAUGAUGAUGCUCCAGAAAGGGUAGUGAAGAACCGAGGUAAGAGACCCUGGAAUGACCAGGAGAGGACGGCAGUCAAACGACGCCUUGCCAAGUCAAUCGCCCUUAAAAUGGUUCCAGGAAAGCAGGACUGCCUGAUGUGCAUUGCCAAAGAGUCUCCAGUCCUAAGUGCGCAGAAGUGGAAAGACGUGAAGUAUUUUGUAUACAACGAAAUUCUUAAAGUUAAAAGAAAGCUUGCAUUAUGAAUGAAUUGACUGAGUUUCCUCCCUCUGUUGUAUUUCCGUGUUUUAAAGGGUGAAUUGUCUGUUAGUUUGUUCAUUUGUUAGCACUCUAACAACUUGAACAAUAAUAAUAAAUGCUGGUUUAUUUAUUAUGUCUGCCAUGUUUGUGUUUAAUACCGUGGAACAGGGAUGAUUUUCUGAAAAAAAAAAAAAAAAAAGCAUACACUUCUGAAUUUGACACUCAAUAUAUUAUAAAAGGUGUGCUCAACCUUAAAAGUUCUUAAUCAUAUUUCAUGUUACAACCAAUGCCCAUUUUCCUUGACCGGCAACUUAACAGUUAGUUUAGACUAUUGCUUUAUGCUUAAGUGACAAAAAAAGUCACACAGAACUUAAUAAUACUAGGCUUAAUUGCUUCCAUAAUGUCUUAAAGGGAUACUUCACUUUAAAAUGAAAAUUUUGUCAUCCUUUACUCACCCUCAAGUUAAAUAUCCCUUUAAGAAAAUCAAUAAAACUGGAAAUAAAACAAACACUUCUCCCUGAUGAAAUAACCAAUUUGCACUUUUAUUCAAUAACGUUUUUAAUAAAAAAAACACUGUCCUGUUAAUGGUGACAACCUCAUUGUGCAUUUGUCAUAACAGAUUUACAUUAUUAAAUAUUCAGUAAUGGAAACACCAUCUUAGUUUACCUAUUAAUCAUUAAAAACCCAAGUGCCCGCCGGUCCUCAGUCUGAUGGUGAAAAACUUUUAUGUAAAUCUUGGUGUUUUCCGUAGUCCAAAGGAGUGUAUUGGAUAAGGGCACCAUCUUGUGGGCAGAAAUAGUUUUGUGCAUUUCUAGUUAAUCAGAACUCGUGGUCCUCACUUUGUGGGCAUCCUCACACAGUCCUCACUUAGAAGCAAUUACAAAAGUGUGUGUGUGUGUGUGAGAGAUAGAAAGCUCGUUCCUCUUUGUGUUUAUGCUCUAGGACCAGACCUUGAUUUAAAUGGUUUUUUUUUUUUUAGAUUUAUGCCAGUUUUGUAUAUUUUAUUUGCCAAUUUCUGUAAAAAUGCUCUCUGUUGCAGUCACAUACAUU